AGGGACCCUUCUGCCUCAGCCUCUCAUGUAGCGAGACUACAGAGCCUUAAUACCUGGAUUCCAACAAUCAAGAACUGUUGUUAAAGCACUGCGAAGAAGAUCAGUCCAAGCGGUGUGACUCUUUUCUGCUCGGGCCAUGGGGGAAGAUAAUAUUCCUUUCAGAGCCUGAAGUGAAGCUGCAACCGUUGAAGAUAACUGGCUCCCAGAAUCACAUGACCUGGAAACUCUGGUUCUGGAACAGUUGCAAAUCGCCGAAUAACAACUAAUAGUGUUUCAAGGCCAGAAAGACGGAGUUGAUCACUGUGAUCUGUGGCAGCCAUAAAAGCCAUGCGAAUUAAGUCAGCAAGAUGUAACACCAAAAAGUCAUCUACAAGAUUAAAAAAUGCCUUAUUAAGAAAUAGAAUACAUUGGAACUAA
Molecule: non-coding RNA, 417 nt
Organism: Marmota flaviventris (yellow-bellied marmot)
Lineage: Eukaryota; Metazoa; Chordata; Mammalia; Rodentia; Sciuridae
Source: RefSeq, a predicted model, not a curated record